GACGAACGCUGGCGGCGUGCCUAAUACAUGCAAGUCGAACGCUUCUUUCCUCCCGAGUGCUUGCACUCAAUUGGAAAGAGGAGUGGCGGACGGGUGAGUAACACGUGGGUAACCUACCCAUCAGAGGGGGAUAACACUUGGAAACAGGUGCUAAUACCGCAUAACAGUUUAUGCCGCAUGGCAUAAGAGUGAAAGGCGCUUUCGGGUGUCGUUGAUGGAUGGACCCGCGGUGCAUUAGCUAGUUGGUGAGGUAACGGCUCACCAAGGCCACGAUGCAUAGCCGACCUGAGAGGGUGAUCGGCCACACUGGGACUGAGACACGGCCCAGACUCCUACGGGAGGCAGCAGUAGGGAAUCUUCGGCAAUGGACGAAAGUCUGACCGAGCAACGCCGCGUGAGUGAAGAAGGUUUUCGGAUCGUAAAACUCUGUUGUUAGAGGAGAACAAGGACGUUAGUAACUGAACGUCCCCUGACGGUAUCUAACCAGAAAGCCACGGCUAACUACGUG
Molecule: ribosomal RNA, 508 nt
Filed under: uncultured bacterium
Lineage: Bacteria
Description: partial 16S ribosomal RNA
Rfam family: Bacterial small subunit ribosomal RNA
Source: RNAcentral